This 200-nucleotide ribosomal RNA is filed under the name uncultured bacterium. RNAcentral describes it as "partial 16S ribosomal RNA". It matches the Rfam family "Bacterial small subunit ribosomal RNA", at positions 328 to 539 of the family's 1533-position model. The record is from RNAcentral.
ACGCUCGACACCUACGUGAGGCAGCAGUCGGGAAUAUUGCGCAAUGGAGGAAACUCUGACGCAGUGACGCCGCGUGCAGGAAGAAGGUUUUCGGAUUGUAAACUGCUUUAGACAGGGAAGAAAAAAGACAGUACCUGUAGAAUAAGCUCCGGCUAACUACGUGACAGCAGCCGCGGUAAUCUGAGGCGGGCUGGCAAGGC